RNAcentral lists this ribosomal RNA (428 nucleotides) under uncultured prokaryote. RNAcentral's name for it is "bacterial SSU rRNA". It matches the Rfam family "Bacterial small subunit ribosomal RNA", at positions 355 to 774 of the family's 1533-position model. The record is from RNAcentral.
UGAGGAAUUAUGCGCAAUGGGGGAAACCCUGACGCUGCGACGCCGCGUGGGUGAUGAAGGCCUUCGGGUCGUAAAACCCUGUCGAGAGGGGCGAAAAGCCGGUGUGUUAAUACCACGCCGGCUUGACGGUACCUCUGGAGGAAGUCCCGGCUAACUCCGUGCCAGCAGCCGCGGUAAUACGGAGGGGGCAAGCGUUGUUCGGAAUUACUGGGCGUAAAGCGCGCGUAGGCGGUCGUGCAAGUCAGAGGUGAAAGCCCCAGGCUCAACCGGGGAACUGCGUCUGAUACUGCUCGACUUGAGUCCGGUAGGGGAUGGCGGAAUGCCCGGUGUAGCGGUGGAAUGCGUAGAUAUCGGGAGGAACACCGAUGGCGAAGGCGGCCAUCUGGGCCGGAACUGACGCUGAGGCGCGAGAGCUAGGGGAGCAAACA